This 1184-nucleotide long non-coding RNA is filed under the name Equus caballus (horse). RNAcentral describes it as "lncRNA (ENSECAG00000050986.1)". The record is from RNAcentral. Lineage: Eukaryota; Metazoa; Chordata; Mammalia; Perissodactyla; Equidae.
UGAAGAUUAAGACUGCAAAGAGAGAGGGCUCUUCAGUCAGUUUAAGGAAAUUAAAGAGGAAUUUGUCAGCAGAAAGAAGAAAGAACUACAGGAGCUGAAGUAAAAGCCUUUGAAAGAGAUGGGCGUUCGAAACAAAAUGACUAAUGUUUUUCUCUAAAAGGGGUUUGGUGGGAGAGGGUGAAAGGUUAAUUAACUAUAUUAUCUGCCCGUUUAUGCCCAGCUGUGUAAAGCUCUAUCCGCCUCUGCCCUGGAUUUUAAAACCUAGAUUCGAGAAGCCAGGCCAGAGUCAGGAAGAGUGUCUUAGAGUAAUUGAAUUAGUUUCCGACAAGUCGACUAUUCACAACUGCCCUGGGCGCCUUCUUACAGAGCUCCUUACAUUGUUUGGGAAUUAAUUGAUUAAUAACAAGAAAAUGAUGAUAAGAGAAGAAACACGCGUCCACACAACUCUAUAAAGAGUGCUAGCUUGGGGAACUAUUAUGAAAGUCGGUAAUUGGGACUUUAUCAUCAGAGGUGUUUGAAAUUAAAAGUCAAACCUAUGCCAAGAGGAGUUUUCAGGCUGCUCUUUGCUUGGAGGUGGGUGAGACCCUUCCCAGCCUUGAGAAGAUGCGCGUGGUCCUGCCCCCUUUUAUGUUAAGCCCUGAAGAUUAACCCUGAGCUAACAUCUGCCACCAAUCCUCCUCUUUUUGCUGAGGAAGACCGGCCCUGAGCUAACAUCUGUGCCCAUCUUCCUCUAUUUUAUAUGUGAGACACCUACCACAGCAUGGCUUGCCGAGCAGUGCCAUGUCCACAUGCAGGAUCCAAACAGGUGAACCCUGGGCCACCGAAGUAGAAUGUGCACACUUAACCUCUGCACCACUGGACCAGCUCCCUCAAAUAAUUUUUUUAUGUCUAUUAAGAUGAUCAUGUGUUUUUUCUUUUUUAGUUAGUCAAUGCAGUGAUUGGUUUUCUAAUGUUAAACAAACCCCGCAUUCCUGGAAUAAACCCCAAUUGAUUAUGGUAUAUUAUCCUUUUAUGUAUUAUUGAAUUUGAUUUACUAACAUUUUGUUCAGAAUUUUUGCUUCUAUAUUCAUGAAGGACAAUGGUCUCAUGGAGUUUUUAUUUCUUAUACAGAAUUGGUACUAUUUCUUCCUUAAAUCUUUUUGUAAACAGUUUAUUGAGAUGUAAUUCACAUAUCAUACAAUUCA